Molecule: ribosomal RNA, 2820 nt
Filed under: Klebsiella pneumoniae
Lineage: Bacteria; Pseudomonadati; Pseudomonadota; Gammaproteobacteria; Enterobacterales; Enterobacteriaceae
Description: bacterial LSU rRNA
Rfam family: Bacterial large subunit ribosomal RNA
Source: RNAcentral
UUAAGCGACUAAGCGUACACGGUGGAUGCCCUGGCAGUCAGAGGCGAUGAAGGACGUGCUAAUCUGCGAAAAGCGUCGGUAAGGUGAUAUGAACCGUUAUAACCGGCGAUGUCCGAAUGGGGAAACCCAGUGCAAUUCGUUGCACUAUCGUUAACUGAAUACAUAGGUUAACGAGGCGAACCGGGGGAACUGAAACAUCUAAGUACCCCGAGGAAAAGAAAUCAACCGAGAUUCCCCCAGUAGCGGCGAGCGAACGGGGAGCAGCCCAGAGUCUGAAUCAGCUUGUGUGUUAGUGGAACGGUCUGGAAAGUCCGACGGUACAGGGUGAUAGUCCCGUACACCAAAAUGCACAGGUUGUGAACUCGAAGAGUAGGGCGGGACACGUGGUAUCCUGUCUGAAUAUGGGGGGACCAUCCUCCAAGGCUAAAUACUCCUGACUGACCGAUAGUGAACCAGUACCGUGAGGGAAAGGCGAAAAGAACCCCGGCGAGGGGAGUGAAAAAGAACCUGAAACCGUGUACGUACAAGCAGUGGGAGCACCUUCGGGUGUGACUGCGUACCUUUUGUAUAAUGGGUCAGCGACUUAUAUUCUGUAGCAAGGUUAACCGUAUAGGGGAGCCGCAGGGAAACCGAGUCUUAACUGGGCGUUAAGUUGCAGGGUAUAGACCCGAAACCCGGUGAUCUAGCCAUGGGCAGGUUGAAGGUUGGGUAACACUAACUGGAGGACCGAACCGACUAAUGUUGAAAAAUUAGCGGAUGACUUGUGGCUGGGGGUGAAAGGCCAAUCAAACCGGGAGAUAGCUGGUUCUCCCCGAAAGCUAUUUAGGUAGCGCCUCGUGAACUCAUCUUCGGGGGUAGAGCACUGUUUCGGCUAGGGGGUCAUCCCGACUUACCAACCCGAUGCAAACUACGAAUACCGAAGAAUGUUAUCACGGGAGACACACGGCGGGUGCUAACGUCCGUCGUGAAGAGGGAAACAACCCAGACCGCCAGCUAAGGUCCCAAAGUCAUGGUUAAGUGGGAAACGAUGUGGGAAGGCACAGACAGCCAGGAUGUUGGCUUAGAAGCAGCCAUCAUUUAAAGAAAGCGUAAUAGCUCACUGGUCGAGUCGGCCUGCGCGGAAGAUGUAACGGGGCUAAACCAUGCACCGAAGCUGCGGCAGCGACACUAUGUGUUGUUGGGUAGGGGAGCGUUCUGUAAGCCUGCGAAGGUGUGCUGUGAGGCAUGCUGGAGGUAUCAGAAGUGCGAAUGCUGACAUAAGUAACGAUAAAGCGGGUGAAAAGCCCGCUCGCCGGAAGACCAAGGGUUCCUGUCCAACGUUAAUCGGGGCAGGGUGAGUCGACCCCUAAGGCGAGGCCGAAAGGCGUAGUCGAUGGGAAACAGGUUAAUAUUCCUGUACUUGGUGUUACUGCGAAGGGGGGACGGAGAAGGCUAUGUUAGCCGGGCGACGGUUGUCCCGGUUUAAGCAUGUAGGCUGGUUGUCCAGGCAAAUCCGGAUAAUCAAGGCUGAGGUGUGAUGACGAGGCACUACGGUGCUGAAGUAACAAAUGCCCUGCUUCCAGGAAAAGCCUCUAAGCAUCAGGUAACAUUAAAUCGUACCCCAAACCGACACAGGUGGUCAGGUAGAGAAUACCAAGGCGCUUGAGAGAACUCGGGUGAAGGAACUAGGCAAAAUGGUGCCGUAACUUCGGGAGAAGGCACGCUGGUGUGUAGGUGAAGUCCCUGCGGAUGGAGCUGAGACCAGUCGAAGAUACCAGCUGGCUGCAACUGUUUAUUAAAAACACAGCACUGUGCAAACACGAAAGUGGACGUAUACGGUGUGACGCCUGCCCGGUGCCGGAAGGUUAAUUGAUGGGGUUAUCCGUAAGGAGAAGCUCUUGAUCGAAGCCCCGGUAAACGGCGGCCGUAACUAUAACGGUCCUAAGGUAGCGAAAUUCCUUGUCGGGUAAGUUCCGACCUGCACGAAUGGCGUAAUGAUGGCCAGGCUGUCUCCACCCGAGACUCAGUGAAAUUGAACUCGCUGUGAAGAUGCAGUGUACCCGCGGCAAGACGGAAAGACCCCGUGAACCUUUACUAUAGCUUGACACUGAACAUUGAGCCUUGAUGUGUAGGAUAGGUGGGAGGCUUUGAAGCGUGGACGCCAGUCUGCGUGGAGCCAACCUUGAAAUACCACCCUUUAAUGUUUGAUGUUCUAACGUUGGCCCCUUACCGGGGUUGCGGACAGUGUCUGGUGGGUAGUUUGACUGGGGCGGUCUCCUCCCAAAGCGUAACGGAGGAGCACGAAGGUUAGCUAAUCCUGGUCGGACAUCAGGAGGUUAGUGCAAUGGCAUAAGCUAGCUUGACUGCGAGCGUGACGGCGCGAGCAGGUGCGAAAGCAGGUCAUAGUGAUCCGGUGGUUCUGAAUGGAAGGGCCAUCGCUCAACGGAUAAAAGGUACUCCGGGGAUAACAGGCUGAUACCGCCCAAGAGUUCAUAUCGACGGCGGUGUUUGGCACCUCGAUGUCGGCUCAUCACAUCCUGGGGCUGAAGUAGGUCCCAAGGGUAUGGCUGUUCGCCAUUUAAAGUGGUACGCGAGCUGGGUUUAGAACGUCGUGAGACAGUUCGGUCCCUAUCUGCCGUGGGCGCUGGAGAAUUGAGGGGGGCUGCUCCUAGUACGAGAGGACCGGAGUGGACGCAUCACUGGUGUUCGGGUUGUCAUGCCAAUGGCACUGCCCGGUAGCUAAAUGCGGAAGAGAUAAGUGCUGAAAGCAUCUAAGCACGAAACUUGCCCCGAGAUGAGUUCUCCCUGAGACUAUAAGUCUCCUGAAGGAACGUUAAAGAC